GCGGAUGUGGCGGAACGGCAGACGCUGCGGACUUAAACUCCGCUGGGGAGACCCGUGUGGGUUCGAAUCCCACCAUCCGCA
This 81-nucleotide transfer RNA is filed under the name Chloroflexota bacterium. RNAcentral's name for it is "tRNA-Leu". It matches the Rfam family "tRNA". Rfam says of the family: Transfer RNA (tRNA) molecules are approximately 80 nucleotides in length. Their secondary structure includes four short double-helical elements and three loops (D, anti-codon, and T loops). The record is from RNAcentral. Lineage: Bacteria; Bacillati; Chloroflexota.